CCUACGGGUGGCUGCAGCGGGGAAUAUUGGACAAUGGGGGGAACCCUGAUCCAGCCAUGCCGCGUGUGUGAAGAAGGCCCUCGGGUUGUAAAGCACUUUCAGUGAGGAAGAACGCCUGGUGGUUAAUACCCAUCAGGAAAGACAUCACUCACAGAAGAAGCACCGGCUAACUCCGUGCCAGCAGCCGCGGUAAUACGGAGGGUGCGAGCGUUAAUCGGAAUUACUGGGCGUAAAGCGCGCGUAGGUGGCUUGAUAAGCCGGUUGUGAAAGCCCCGGGCUCAACCUGGGAACGGCAUCCGGAACUGUCAAGCUAGAGUGCAGGAGAGGAAGGUAGAAUUCCCGGUGUAGCGGUGAAAUGCGUAGAGAUCGGGAGGAAUACCAGUGGCGAAGGCGGCCUUCUGGACUGACACUGACACUGAGGUGCGAAAGCGUGGGUAGCAAACAGGAUUAGAUACCCUGGUAGUC
RNAcentral lists this ribosomal RNA (465 nucleotides) under Vreelandella stevensii. Its description in RNAcentral is "partial 16S ribosomal RNA". It matches the Rfam family "Bacterial small subunit ribosomal RNA", at positions 338 to 795 of the family's 1533-position model. The record is from RNAcentral. Lineage: Bacteria; Pseudomonadati; Pseudomonadota; Gammaproteobacteria; Oceanospirillales; Halomonadaceae.